This is a non-coding RNA of Monodelphis domestica (gray short-tailed opossum), 593 nucleotides long. The record is from RefSeq and is a predicted model, not a curated record. NCBI's taxonomy places the organism in Eukaryota, Metazoa, Chordata, Mammalia, Didelphimorphia, Didelphidae.
AAAGACUUUCAAGGACCAUUAGAUGCAAUUUGAUGAAAAAAUGUAUUUGAAUUGAUUGGAAGAAUUAGACUCACCUCCCUGAUUCUACAUAGAUCAGAGAAAUACAUUUCAACAGUUCUGGAAAGAUGUCAAGAAAGCAGAUUUUAGCUUAACAAAAGGAAAAACUAACUGGAGAAGCCCUUGAUGACCAUGGAGUUUCAGAUUGAGAUGAGUCUUCCAAGAGCCACACACAAGACAAGAGAGACUCUCUUCAGAUACAUUUUUUAAAAGAUGUUCCUCAGGGAUGAUGAUUUUCUUCUGGUCCUCGGUCACAAUGGGAAAGAGGCAGACUUCAGUCACCUACUGAGUCCCCUCUACUUGUGUAGGGGCCAAGUGGGGUUCAGUGCUACAUGCCAAGGAAGUGACUGGAAACAAUAAGAUGCAACAGACCCCACCCCCCUUUGCCGCCAAAACUUUCAGUCUAACUGGGGUGAUAAGACAAAGACACAGAUGAGAGGAUGUCUUGAGAGCGCAUUCUAGGUCACCAAGGGGAGUUCUUGCCACACUCAAGUCUCUUUGCAUGUAUAAAUCUAAUAAAGGACUUGACUUGUUAG